UACGUAGGGUGCGAGCGUUGUCCGGAAUUAUUGGGCGUAAAGAGCUCGUAGGCGGUUUGUUGCGUCGGCCGUGAAAACCUGCAGCUUAACUGUGGGCCUGCGGCCGAUACGGGCAGACUUGAGUUCGGUAGUGGAGACUGGAAUUCCUGGUGUAGCGGUGAAAUGCGCAGAUAUCAGGAGGAACACCGGUGGCGAAGGCGGGUCUCUGGGCCGAUACUGACGCUGAGGAGCGAAAGCGUGGGGAGCGAACAGG
RNAcentral lists this ribosomal RNA (253 nucleotides) under uncultured bacterium. Its description in RNAcentral is "partial 16S ribosomal RNA". It matches the Rfam family "Bacterial small subunit ribosomal RNA", at positions 524 to 776 of the family's 1533-position model. The record is from RNAcentral.